This 2277-nucleotide ribosomal RNA is filed under the name human metagenome. RNAcentral describes it as "bacterial LSU rRNA". It matches the Rfam family "Bacterial large subunit ribosomal RNA", at positions 3 to 2351 of the family's 2925-position model. The record is from RNAcentral.
UCAAGUGAAUAAGUGCACACGGUGGAUGCCUUGGCGACAACAGGCGAAGAAGGACGUGGUAAUCUGCGAAAAGCCCCGGGAAGCUGAUAACAAGCUGUGAUCCGGGGAUCUCCGAAUGGGGCAACCCGACCUUAGGGUCAUUCAUAACUGAAUACAUAGGUUAUGAAAGCGAACCGGGAGAACUGAAACAUCUAAGUACCCCGAGGAAAAGAAAUCAACCGAGAUUCCGCAAGUAGCGGCGAGCGAACGCGGAUUAGCCCAAUUAAGUUGCGCAUGAGUUAGCAGAACACUCUGGAAAGGGUGGCCAUAGAAGGUGAUAGCCCGGUAUGUGAAAGCCAUGCGUAAUGAAUCGAGUAGGGCGGGACACGUGAAAUCCUGUCUGAAUAUGGGGGGACCAUCCUCCAAGGCUAAAUACUCGUUGUCGACCGAUAGUGAACCAGUACCGUGAGGGAAAGGCGAAAAGAACCCUGGUGAAGGGAGUGAAAUAGAACCUGAAACCGUGUGCAUACAAGCAGUCAGAGCAUAUGAAGAUAUGUGAUGGCGUACCUUUUGUAUAAUGGGUCAGCGAGUUACAUUCAGUGGCGAGGUUAACCGAAUAGGGGAGCCGUAGCGAAAGCGAGUCUUAAUAGGGCGAUAAGUCUCUGGGUGUAGACCCGAAACCGGGCGAUCUAUCCAUGGGCAGGUUGAAGGUUGAGUAACAUCAACUGGAGGACCGAACCCACGCAUGUUGAAAAAUGCGGGGAUGACCUGUGGAUAGGAGUGAAAGGCUAAACAAGCUCGGAGAUAGCUGGUUCUCCCCGAAAACUAUUGAGGUAGUGCCUUGUAGAUUGACUUACGGGGGUAGAGCACUGUUUCGGCUAGGGGGUCAUACCGACUUACCAACCCGAUGCAAACUCCGAAUACCGUAAAGUUUUACUACAGGAGACACACGGCGGGUGCUAACGUCCGUCGUGAAGAGGGAAACAACCCAGACCGCCAGCUAAGGUCCCGAAAUGACAGUUCAGUGGGAAACGAAGUGGGAAGGCUUAGACAGCUAGGAGGUUGGCUUAGAAGCAGCCAUCCUUUAAAGAAAGCGUAAUAGCUCACUAGUCGAGUCGUCCUGCGCGGAAGAUUUACCGGGGCUAAACUGUCUACCGAAGCUGCGGAUUUGCAUGCAAAUGCAAGUGGUAGGGGAGCGUUGUGUAAGCUGAUGAAGGUGUGUUGAGAAGCAUGCUGGAGGUAUCACAAGUGCGAAUGCUGACAUGAGUAACGAUAAUGUGGGUGAAAAACCCGCACACCGAAAACCCAAGGUUUCCUGCGCAACGCUAAUCGGCGCAGGGUGAGUCGGCCCCUAAGGCGAGGCGGAAACGCGUAGUCGAUGGGAAACAGGUUAAUAUUCCUGUACUGAUCAUAAUUGCGAUGGGGGGACGGAGAAAGCUAGGCCAGCACACUGUUGGAUGUGUGUUUAAGCGCGUAGGUUGGGGACUUAGGCAAAUCCGGGUUCCUAAGACUGAAACGUGAUGACGAGUUUCUACGGAAACGAAGUGGUUGAUGCUCUGCUUCCAGGAAAAGCCUCUAAGCUUCAGAUUAUGACAACCGUACCCCAAACCGACACAGGUGGGUAGGAAGAGAAUUCCAAGGUGCUUGAGAGAACUCGGGUAAAGGAACUCGGCAAAAUGAUACCGUAACUUCGGGAUAAGGUAUGCCUCUGAUGGUGAAUAGCUGUUGGAGGCCGCAGAGAAUAGGCCGCUGCGACUGUUUAUCAAAAACACAGCACUCUGCAAACACGCAAGUGGACGUAUAGGGUGUGACGCCUGCCCGGUGCCGGAAGGUUAAUUGAUGGGGUGCAAGCUCUUGAUCGAAGCCCCGGUAAACGGCGGCCGUAACUAUAACGGUCCUAAGGUAGCGAAAUUCCUUGUCGGGUAAGUUCCGACCUGCACGAAUGGCGUAACGAUGGCGGCGCUGUCUCUACCCGAGACUCAGUGAAGUUGAAAUCGCUGUGAAGAUGCAGUGUACCCGCGGCAAGACGGAAAGACCCCGUGAACCUUCACUACAGCUUGACACUGAACAUUGAAAUAAGUUGCAUAGGAUAGGUGGGAGGCUUUGAAGCAGAGACUCUGGUUUCUGUGGAGCCGACCUUGAAAUACCACCCUGCUUAUUUUGAUGUUCUAACGUAGACCCGUAAUCCGGGUUGCAGACAGUGUCUGGUGGGUAGUUUGACUGGGGCGGUCUCCUCCCAAAGAGUAACGGAGGAGUGCGAAGGUGGGCUCGGUGCGGUCGGAAAUCGCACCAAGAGUG